CGCGGCCUAUCAGCUUGUUGGUGAGGUAACGGCUCACCAAGCCGACGACGGGUAGCCGGUCUGAGAGGACGAUCGGCCCGAGGGGCACUGAGACACGGGCCCCACUCCUACGGGAGGCAGCAGUCGGGAAUUUUGGGCAAUGGGCGCAAGCCUGACCCAGCGACGCCGCGUGGAGGACGAAGCCCUUCGGGGUGUAAACUCCUUUAAGCAGGGACGAACGCAGACGGUACCUGCAGAAUAAGCCCCGGCUAACUACGUGCCAGCAGCCGCGGUAAUACGUAGGGGGCGAGCGUUGCCCGAAUUUACUGGGCGUAAAGCGCACGUAGGCGGCUCCGUAAGUCUGGUGUGAAAUCUCACGGCUCAACCGAGAGGCUGCACCAGAUACUGCGGAGCUCGAGGACGGGAGAGGAGAUUGGAAUUCCCGGUGUAGCGGUGAAAUGCAUUGAUAUCGGGAGGAACACCAGUGGCGAAGGCGGAUCUCUGGCCCGUUGCUGACGCUGAGGUGCGAAAGCUGGGGGAGCGAAAGGGAUUAGAUACCCCUGUAGUCCCAGCCCUAAACGAUGGGCGCUAGAUGUCGGGGAACACUCCUCGGUGUCGUAGCUAACGCAUUAAGCGCCCCGCCUGGGGAGUACGG
This 634-nucleotide ribosomal RNA is filed under the name uncultured bacterium. Its description in RNAcentral is "bacterial SSU rRNA". It matches the Rfam family "Bacterial small subunit ribosomal RNA", at positions 232 to 885 of the family's 1533-position model. The record is from RNAcentral.